Helianthus annuus (common sunflower) is the source of this 333-nucleotide long non-coding RNA. RefSeq lists it as uncharacterized. Lineage: Eukaryota; Viridiplantae; Streptophyta; Magnoliopsida; Asterales; Asteraceae. The transcript has 3 exons. The record is from RefSeq and is a predicted model, not a curated record.
ACCAUAUGGAGCCAGGCAUCUCAAUGACCACAAAUUGGAACUGCACUAUUUCUGUUACUUCUUUUGUUAUCACUUCAUCAAAUCACGCAAAGUAUAUAGAGGUGUUACCCUGCAUAUACGUGAUCCAUAGGGUGAAUUCUACAUUCUGGUCAUGAACAUGCUCGGACCAAGUCUUUGGGAUAUUUGGAGUUCAUUAGGCCAAUCGAUGACACCAAAGUCGACAGCUUGUGCAUCGAAAGCUUCUCUGUGGUUUUCGUUUUUGGAUAUAAAGUAUCGGACCAGGUUUGUUAGAUCUGUUUCUUGCUGUGUUUUGGUAAAUGAAGUUGAACUUGU